RNAcentral lists this ribosomal RNA (470 nucleotides) under Lactococcus lactis. RNAcentral describes it as "bacterial SSU rRNA". It matches the Rfam family "Bacterial small subunit ribosomal RNA", at positions 61 to 513 of the family's 1533-position model. Lineage: Bacteria; Bacillati; Bacillota; Bacilli; Lactobacillales; Streptococcaceae. The record is from RNAcentral.
GUUGAGCGCUGAAGAUUGGUACUUGUACCGAUUGGAUGAGCAGCGAACGGGUGAGUAACGCGUGGGGAAUCUGCCUUUGAGCGGGGGACAACAUUUGGAAACGAAUGCUAAUACCGCAUAAUAGCUUUAAACAUAAGUUUUAAGUUUGAAAGAUGCAACUGCAUCACUCAAAGAUGAUCCCGCGUUGUAUUAGCUAGUUGGUGAGGUAAAGGCUCACCAAGGCGAUGAUACAUAGCCGACCUGAGAGGGUGAUCGGCCACAUUGGGACUGAGACACGGCCCAAACUCCUACGGGAGGCAGCAGUAGGGAAUCUUCGGCAAUGGACGAAAGUCUGACCGAGCAACGCCGCGUGAGUGAAGAAGGUUUUCGGAUCGUAAAACUCUGUUGUUAGAGAAGAACGACGAGGAGAGUGGAAAGCUCCUCGUGUGACGGUAUCUAACCAGAAAGGGACGGCUAACUACGUGCCAGCA